RNAcentral lists this ribosomal RNA (484 nucleotides) under uncultured bacterium. RNAcentral's name for it is "partial 16S ribosomal RNA". It matches the Rfam family "Bacterial small subunit ribosomal RNA", at positions 30 to 507 of the family's 1533-position model. The record is from RNAcentral.
AUUGAACGCUGGCGGCAGGCCUAACGCAUGCAAGUCGAGCGGAUGAAGGGAGCUUGCUCCUGGAUUCAGCGGCGGACGGGUGAGUAAUGCCUAGGAAUCUGCCUGGUAGUGGGGGAUAACGUCCGGAAACGGGCGCUAAUACCGCAUACGUCCUGAGGGAGAAAGUGGGGGAUCUUCGGACCUCACGCUAUCAGAUGAGCCUAGGUCGGAUUAGCUAGUUGGUGGGGUAAAGGCCUACCAAGGCGACGAUCCGUAACUGGUCUGAGAGGAUGAUCAGUCACACUGGAACUGAGACAUGGUCCAGACUCCUACGGGAGGCAGCAGUGGGGAAUAUUGGACAAUGGGCGAAAGCCUGAUCCAGCCAUGCCGCGUGUGUGAAGAAGGUCUUCGGAUUGUAAAGCACUUUAAGUUGGGAGGAAGGGCAGUAAGUUAAUACCUUGCUGUUUUGACGUUACCAACAGAAUAAGCACCGGCUAACUUCGUG